Long non-coding RNA from Rattus norvegicus (Norway rat), 474 nucleotides. RefSeq lists it as uncharacterized. NCBI's taxonomy places the organism in Eukaryota, Metazoa, Chordata, Mammalia, Rodentia, Muridae. The record is from RefSeq and is a predicted model, not a curated record.
CUGAUGGGAGCUCACAGUGGAGCAGAGAGGGUCUCAGAAGAACUGCUCCCUAAGCUAAGGUGCAAUCAGAGAGGAAGCAGGGGAGGGGGUUAAGCUCACACACUAAAACCAGAAAUCAACAAACCCCUCUCGAGAUCAGAUCUCUAGAAACCUCUCCGCGUGAGGAUACAGACCUGCCUUCCUUGGAGCCUCACUGGUGUAGACUGCCUGAGUUCUAAACAGAGUUGGUUCCAUCAGUCAUGUUCCUGGAAAUGCCAGUGACUGAGCCACUAAUGUCCUGCUUCUCAAGCCACACAUGUAAUGUGAAUUCUGAUUCCCGAACUCUCAUGAAGAGCGGUUUAUGGAUUCUUAAGGAGGUGGCCGUCACUUCUUGUUCCGGGACCAGGACAUUCGGGAGAGUUCAUCCAUUGUACACCAUGGGUGUGUCUUCUCCAGGUCGUCCAUUAAAGCUGUGAUCCCUCAGCUCCACGGGCA